This 204-nucleotide ribosomal RNA is filed under the name uncultured bacterium. RNAcentral's name for it is "partial 16S ribosomal RNA". The record is from RNAcentral.
GACGAACGCUGGCGGCGUGCUUAACACAUGCAAGUCGAGCGGUAAGGCCCUUUCGGGGUACGACGAGCGGCGAACGGGUAGGAGUAACAACGUGGGUGGACCUCGCCCUCCAGUUCUUGGGAGUAAAGACCGUCGGGAAACCGGGGUACCGUAAUAACUGGAGUAUGACCUCCAUGACGCAUGUUGUUGGAGUGGAAAGACCUU